UGGGGAAUAUUGGACAAUGGGGGCAACCCUGAUCCAGCCAUGCCGCGUGUGUGAAGAAGGCCUUUUGGUUGUAAAGCACUUUAAGCAGGGAGGAGAGGCUAAUGGUUAAUACCCAUUAGAUUAGACGUUACCUGCAGAAUGAGCACCGGCUAACUCUGUGCCAGCAGCCGCGGUAAAUACAGAGGGUGCGAGCGUUAAUCGGAAUUACUGGGCGUAAAGCGAGUGUAGGUGGCUCAUUAAGUCACAUGUGAAAUCCCCGGGCUUAACCUGGGAACUGCAUGUGAUACUGGUGGUGCUAGAAUAUGUGAGAGGGAAGUAGAAUUCCAGGUGUAGCGGUGAAAUGCGUAGAGAUCUGGAGGAAUACCGAUGGCGAAGGCAGCUUCCUGGCAUAAUAUUGACACUGAGAUUCGAAAGCGUGGGUAGCAAACAGGAUUAGAUACCCUGGUAGUCCACGCCGUAAACGAUGUCUACUAGCCGUUGGGGUCCUUGAGACUUUAGUGGCGCAGUUAACGCGAUAAGUAGACCGCCUGGGGAG
This 535-nucleotide ribosomal RNA is filed under the name uncultured bacterium. RNAcentral's name for it is "partial 16S ribosomal RNA". It matches the Rfam family "Bacterial small subunit ribosomal RNA", at positions 355 to 880 of the family's 1533-position model. The record is from RNAcentral.